Molecule: long non-coding RNA, 754 nt
Organism: Colossoma macropomum (tambaqui)
Lineage: Eukaryota; Metazoa; Chordata; Actinopteri; Characiformes; Serrasalmidae
Exons: 2
Source: RefSeq, a predicted model, not a curated record
AGCUCAAGGUUGGCUUGGGAACAGACCUUCUUUAUAUUGGAGCUGAGCUAAGCCACUCACUAAGAACUACAACUCGUCCAUUCAUCCAGAGAUCCAAGACUCCAGCUUUCAGACGAAACCAUGGCGUUCUCUCCUCGUCUGAUAUACCUCGCUAUCCUGGUCCUGGCAUCUCAUGUGAUGUUAAGCGAUGCCGCUGUCACUGAGUCGCCGCUUUAUGCCAAAAGGAUUCCAGACAAGGCUCUGGUCAACCAGCCUGAUGCGCAUGUCGAAGCAACCCUCGACAGCCACCCCCUAAGCACCAACACCAUUGAGGGCACAGCUGAUCUCAACAGGAAUGAAGCGUUCACCAUACCCAGCUGCACGUCUGAAUCAACCCCUGAGGUUUGUGGUACUCAAGGAAAAAUCUAUCAGCGUUCCUCAUCACCUGAGCAGCUGUGAAUACCAACUGUUAAAAGGGUUUGGUAGUAAGACAUGCUCCCUAAAAAAGACACUCUGUACUUCUACUAUUAUGCCAACUGAACAUCUCUGUAAAAAAAAGUCUUCGUAAUGUUAGACUAAUGAUGCCAUUGUUUGGGUAGAGUAGGCUUUUUGUUCAAUACAUCUGUGAACACCGCUGAUAUCCAGCAAUCAUCACAUCAAACUCUUUCUCAAUCUGCCUGUUUAUCCUUUAAACUGUGAAAUCAUGUUCAACCCCAGAUGCAAUGUCUAACAUGUCUAACAACAGUUAAUAAAGUGAUUUCAUGCAAACUGCAAA